AGAGGCAGGCGGAUCUCUGUGAGUUCGAGGCCAGCCUGGUCUACAAAGUGAGUUCCAGGACAGCCUCCAAAACUACAGAGAAACCCUGUCUC
This is a microRNA precursor of Mesocricetus auratus (golden hamster), 92 nucleotides long. Lineage: Eukaryota; Metazoa; Chordata; Mammalia; Rodentia; Cricetidae. The record is from Ensembl.